AUUGAACGCUGGCGGCAUGCCUUACACAUGCAAGUCGAACGGCAGCACGGGAGCAAUCCUGGUGGCGAGUGGCGAACGGGUGAGUAAAGUAUCGGAGCGUGCCCAGUCGUGGGGGAUCACGUAGAGAAAGUUACGCUAAUACCGCAUACGAUCUAUGGAUGAACGCGGGGGAUCGCAAGACCUCGCGCGAUUGGAUCGGCCGAUAUCAGAUUAGGUAGUUGGUGGGGUAAAGGCUCACCAAGCCGACGAUCUGUAGCUGGUCUGAGAGGACGACCAGCCACACUGGGACUGAGACACGGCCCAGACUCCUACGGGAGGCAGCAGUGGGGAAUUUUGGACAAUGGGCGAAAGCCUGAUCCAGCCAUGCCGCGUGCAGGAUGAAGGCCUUCGGGUUGUAAACUGCUUUUGUACGGAGCGAAAAGGUUUGGCCUAAUAAGCUGAGCUCAUGACGGUACCGUAAGAAUAAGCACCGGCUAACUACGUGCCAGCCGCCGCUGUAA
Molecule: ribosomal RNA, 500 nt
Filed under: uncultured bacterium
Lineage: Bacteria
Description: partial 16S ribosomal RNA
Rfam family: Bacterial small subunit ribosomal RNA
Source: RNAcentral